Delphinapterus leucas (beluga whale) is the source of this 93-nucleotide small nucleolar RNA. Its record names the gene SNORD116. It matches the Rfam family "Small nucleolar RNA SNORD116". From Rfam's summary of the family: HBII-85 is a member of the C/D class of snoRNAs, which contain the C (UGAUGA) and D (CUGA) box motifs. HBII-85 is encoded in a tandemly repeated array with another C/D snoRNA, HBII-52, in the Prader-Willi syndrome (PWS) region of chromosome 15. NCBI's taxonomy places the organism in Eukaryota, Metazoa, Chordata, Mammalia, Artiodactyla, Monodontidae. The record is from Ensembl.
GGAUGGAUGAUGACUCCUUCGUAUGCAUUCCUUGGUAAAUCUGAACAAAAUAAGUGAGAAUGCUCUACCAUCUCCUCAUCGAAACUGAGGUCC